Molecule: transfer RNA, 73 nt
Organism: Ipomoea nil (Japanese morning glory)
Lineage: Eukaryota; Viridiplantae; Streptophyta; Magnoliopsida; Solanales; Convolvulaceae
Rfam family: tRNA
About the family: Transfer RNA (tRNA) molecules are approximately 80 nucleotides in length. Their secondary structure includes four short double-helical elements and three loops (D, anti-codon, and T loops). Further hydrogen bonds mediate the characteristic L-shaped molecular structure. tRNAs have two regions of fundamental functional importance: the anti-codon, which is responsible for specific mRNA codon recognition, and the 3' end, to which the tRNAs corresponding amino acid is attached (by aminoacyl-tRNA synthetases). tRNAs cope with the degeneracy of the genetic code in two manners: having more than one tRNA (with a specific anti-codon) for a particular amino acid; and 'wobble' base-pairing, i.e. permitting non-standard base-pairing at the 3rd anti-codon position.
Source: Rfam
GGGGAUGUAGCUCAGAUGGUAGAGCGCUCGCUUAGCAUGCGAGAGGUACGGGGAAAGAUACCCCGCAUCUCCA